UUGAUAGGAAAUAAAAUUUUCCUAUUCUAAAUCUCCUUUGUGUAUACAGAAUUGUUGCUUCCACUGGACAGACUUAGUGGGAUAAUUUUCUCACAAGUCCUUUAGCUUAUACAUACUGUAUUUGCUGCGGAGUUGCCAGUGGGUGUUGUUUUGGCUUAAAAAAUUUGAAUUCACAACAGUUUUGUCUGAUUUAUAUAUUAAUAAAU
Molecule: unclassified non-coding RNA, 206 nt
Filed under: uncultured fungus
Lineage: Eukaryota; Fungi
Description: sequence contains ITS1
Source: RNAcentral